GUGUGUAGUGUCAGUGCUGUAAGAUAAGAACAGCCACGCUAGGUCAGACCAAAGGUCCAUUGAGCCCAGUAUCCGGUCUUCCGACAGUGGCCAAUGCCAGGUGUUUCAGAGGGAAAGGACAGAACAGGGAAUCAUCAAGUGAUCCACC
Molecule: long non-coding RNA, 148 nt
Organism: Dermochelys coriacea (leatherback sea turtle)
Lineage: Eukaryota; Metazoa; Chordata; Testudines; Dermochelyidae
Exons: 3
Source: RefSeq, a predicted model, not a curated record